GGCUCAGUUGGUAGAGUGCAUGUUUUGUAUGCAUAAGGCCCUGGGUUUGAUCCCCAG
RNAcentral lists this transfer RNA (57 nucleotides) under Rattus norvegicus (Norway rat). It matches the Rfam family "tRNA", at positions 9 to 63 of the family's 71-position model. Rfam says of the family: Transfer RNA (tRNA) molecules are approximately 80 nucleotides in length. Their secondary structure includes four short double-helical elements and three loops (D, anti-codon, and T loops). Further hydrogen bonds mediate the characteristic L-shaped molecular structure. tRNAs have two regions of fundamental functional importance: the anti-codon, which is responsible for specific mRNA codon recognition, and the 3' end, to which the tRNAs corresponding amino acid is attached (by aminoacyl-tRNA synthetases). tRNAs cope with the degeneracy of the genetic code in two manners: having more than one tRNA (with a specific anti-codon) for a particular amino acid; and 'wobble' base-pairing, i.e. permitting non-standard base-pairing at the 3rd anti-codon position. Lineage: Eukaryota; Metazoa; Chordata; Mammalia; Rodentia; Muridae. The record is from Rfam by way of RNAcentral.